ACAAGCGGUGGAUGAUGUGGUUUAAUUCGAUGCAACGCGAAGAACCUUACCGUAGGCUUGACAUCCCUGGAAUUUUGUGGAAACACAAAGGUUGCCUUUCGGGGAACCAGGAGACAGGUGCUGCAUGGCUGUCGUCAGCUCGUGUCGUGAGAUGUUGGGUUAAGUCCCGGCAACCGAGCGCAACCCCUUUAUCCUUUUAAUUGCCAGCAUUCAGUUGGGCACUUUAAAGAGACUGCCGGUGUUAAACCGGAGGAAGUGGGAUGACGUCAAGUCCUCAUGGCCUUUAUGCUUAGGGCUACACACGUGCUACAAUGGGUGGUACAAAGAGAAGCCAACUCGCGAGAGCGCGCCAAUCUCAAAAAGCCAUCCUCAGUUCGGAUUGGAGUCUGCAACUCGACUCCAUGAAGUUGGAAUCGCUAGUAAUCGCGGAUCAGCAUGUCGCGGUGAAUACGUUCCCGGGUCUU
RNAcentral lists this ribosomal RNA (464 nucleotides) under uncultured Smithella sp. Its description in RNAcentral is "bacterial SSU rRNA". It matches the Rfam family "Bacterial small subunit ribosomal RNA", at positions 925 to 1382 of the family's 1533-position model. The record is from RNAcentral. Lineage: Bacteria; Pseudomonadati; Thermodesulfobacteriota; Syntrophia; Syntrophales; Smithellaceae.